CCCCUCAAGGAGCAGAGCUCGUCAGAGCCUUGUGCAAAGGCGAGCUGGACUCUCUCAGAUAACUGCCUCCGAAGGUGGGCAACUUCAUCGGUUGCCGUCUGGAGCUUCCUUCGGUAGUCCUCUACUUGCCCGCUUCAACUGACUUGGUAGGCGUUGUAGUUCACCUCAGCAUCCUGCAGCUGCUUUUGAAGGUUGGAGAACUUCUUCGACCAGUCUUGGUUGCGAUCGGC
This 230-nucleotide long non-coding RNA is filed under the name Elaeis guineensis (African oil palm). Its description in RNAcentral is "long non-coding RNA (EGUI_LNC046466)". The record is from RNAcentral. Lineage: Eukaryota; Viridiplantae; Streptophyta; Magnoliopsida; Arecales; Arecaceae.